AGCAGCGUGGCCUUGUGGUUAGAGCGUGGGCCUGGGAGUCAGAAAGACCUGGGUUCUAAUCCCAGCUCUGCUA
This 73-nucleotide transfer RNA is filed under the name Ornithorhynchus anatinus (platypus). It matches the Rfam family "tRNA". Rfam says of the family: Transfer RNA (tRNA) molecules are approximately 80 nucleotides in length. Their secondary structure includes four short double-helical elements and three loops (D, anti-codon, and T loops). Further hydrogen bonds mediate the characteristic L-shaped molecular structure. tRNAs have two regions of fundamental functional importance: the anti-codon, which is responsible for specific mRNA codon recognition, and the 3' end, to which the tRNAs corresponding amino acid is attached (by aminoacyl-tRNA synthetases). tRNAs cope with the degeneracy of the genetic code in two manners: having more than one tRNA (with a specific anti-codon) for a particular amino acid; and 'wobble' base-pairing, i.e. permitting non-standard base-pairing at the 3rd anti-codon position. Lineage: Eukaryota; Metazoa; Chordata; Mammalia; Monotremata; Ornithorhynchidae. The record is from Rfam by way of RNAcentral.